CGGCUCACCAAGUCGACGAUGUCUAGGGGUUCUGAGAGGAAGGUCCCCCACACUGGUACUGAGACACGGACCAGACUCCUACGGGAGGCAGCAGUGAGGAAUAUUGGUCAAUGGGCGCAAGUCUGAACCAGCCAUGUCGCGUGAAGGAAGACGGUUCUAUGGAUUGUAAACUUCUUUUAUACGGGAAGAAACGUAUCUACGUGUAGAUAUUUGCCGGUACCGUAUGAAUAAGCACCGGCUAACUCCGUGCCAGCAGCCGCGGUAAUACGGAGGGUGCGAGCGUUAUCCGGAUUUAUUGGGUUUAAAGGGUGCGUAGGCGGAAUAAUAAGUCAGUGGUGAAAUCUUGCAGCUUAACUGUAAAACUGCCAUCGAUACUGUUAUUCUUGAAUUUAGUUGAGGUAGGCGGAAUGUGUUGUGUAGCGGUGAAAUGCAUAGAUAUAACACAGAACACCGAUUGCGAAGGCAGCUUACUAAGCUAUAAUUGACGCUGAUGCACGAAAGCGUGGGUAGCGAACAGGAUUAGAUACCCUGGUAGUCCACGCCGUAAACGAUGAUUACUCGUUGUUGGCAAUACAUCGUCAGCGACUGAGCGAAAGCAUUAAGUAAUCCACCUGGGGAGUAUGUUGGCAACAAUGAAACUCAAAGGAAUUGACGGGGGCCCGCACAAGCGGAGGAACAUGUGGUUUAAUUCGAUGAUACGCGAGGAACCUUACCUGGACUUAAAUGUAGAUUGACAGGCUUAGAGAUAGGCUUUUCUUCGGACAAUUUACAAGGUGCUGCAUGGUUGUCGUCAGCUCGUGCCGUGAGGUGUCGGGUUAAGUCCCAUAACGAGCGCAACCCCUAUCUUUAGUUACCAGCAUGUAGUGGUGGGGACUCUAAAGAGACUGCCGGUGUAAACCGUGAGGAAGGUGGGGAUGACGUCAAAUCAGCACGGCCCUUACGUCCAGGGCUACACACGUGUUACAAUGGUCGGUACAAAGGGCAGCUACCUAGCGAUAGGAUGCUAAUCUCUAAAACCGAUCUCAGUUCGGAUCGGAGUCUGCAACUCGACUCCGUGAAGCUGGAUUCGCUAGUAAUCGCAUAUCAGCCAUGAUGCGGUGAAUACGUUCCCGGGCCUUGUACGCACCGCCCGUCAAACCAUGGAAGUUGGGGGUACCUGAAGUCUGUUACCGUAAGGAGCGGCCUAGGGUAAAACCAAUAACUAGGGUUAAGUCG
RNAcentral lists this ribosomal RNA (1215 nucleotides) under metagenome. Its description in RNAcentral is "bacterial SSU rRNA". It matches the Rfam family "Bacterial small subunit ribosomal RNA", at positions 261 to 1488 of the family's 1533-position model. The record is from RNAcentral.